AUGCUUGUUUUAGGAUAUAUACUAAAUUAGAAUGACAUAGAAAAUUAGCAUGGCCCUUGUGCAAAGAUGACACAUAAAUUCAUGUUCUCUAUUUUU
Molecule: small nuclear RNA, 96 nt
Organism: Dipodomys ordii (Ord's kangaroo rat)
Lineage: Eukaryota; Metazoa; Chordata; Mammalia; Rodentia; Heteromyidae
Source: Ensembl